UUUAUUUUCUGUCAGGCAAAGGCCCGCGACCCACUGAAAACGGGUCCGCGGACCCACCAGUUGAGAAUCACUCCAGUUUGAGUGAGAGGUUUGAUUCAUGUGACAAAGAAUCACGUGAAUCUGAACAAAAACAAAAAUAAUUCAUUUUGACCUGCUGCCAAUCCAACUUCAUUUCAAGUGUCCAGGUUUCACUGUAACAUGUCUCUACUGAAGCCUGCAGAUUCACUGCCUGUCUCUCUGCUGCUCUGUCUCGCUUGCUUCAUCCCCAUCUUCCUCUUUGCUGUCCUUUUGUACCACCCCGCCCUUUUUCGGCCAUUCUCUCAGUCUGACUGGGAGAAUGGGUGAGGAAAAUGGAGAGGAGACAUUUUUCCAGAGCACAGCUCCCGCCAAGCCCCCUGCAGCACCCAGCGAGGAGGAAGAGGAGGAUGAGAUGAGCUUGAAGGGACACCCCCCCCCCGCCCCUCUCUUUGGUGAUGAUGAGGAGGAUAAUGACCUGGACUGGCUAAACUGACAUAAUACACACUCUGUGUGGUGGAGCAGUCAGCACCAACAGAGAGGAGGAGCCUGAUUGGACGGAGCAGACAGACGGUGUGUCCUGCUGACUGACGGUCCACCUCUGAUCUACUAUCACAGAGGAAAAAGUGUUUCAUUCAUUAUGUGAUAUCUGUUGGUUUUUUACAUUGCACUGCAGCAGAUGAGUCUGUCGAAUCAGCAGGAAUCCUGUUAUUUUAAUGAUUAGCUUGCUGCUUUAAGAAUAGAACUUUUACACAAUUUUGCUAACCUGAAAUUCCUUCCAUAAAAUAAAUGACAUGUAGAUUGUG
Molecule: long non-coding RNA, 821 nt
Organism: Anarrhichthys ocellatus (wolf-eel)
Lineage: Eukaryota; Metazoa; Chordata; Actinopteri; Perciformes; Anarhichadidae
Exons: 2
Source: RefSeq, a predicted model, not a curated record